Molecule: ribosomal RNA, 468 nt
Filed under: uncultured bacterium
Lineage: Bacteria
Description: partial 16S ribosomal RNA
Rfam family: Bacterial small subunit ribosomal RNA
Source: RNAcentral
GACGAACGCUGGCGGCGUGCUUAACACAUGCAAGUCGAACGGAAAGGCCCUGCUUUUGUGGGGUGCUCGAGUGGCGAACGGGUGAGUAACACGUGAGUAACCUGCCCUUGACUUUGGGAUAACUUCAGGAAACUGGGGCUAAUACCGGAUAGGAGCUCCUGCUGCAUGGUGGGGGUUGGAAAGUUUCGGCGGUUGGGGAUGGACUCGCGGCUUAUCAGCUUGUUGGUGGGGUAGUGGCUUACCAAGGCUUUGACGGGUAGCCGGCCUGAGAGGGUGACCGGCCACAUUGGGACUGAGAUACGGCCCAGACUCCUACGGGAGGCAGCAGUGGGGAAUAUUGCACAAUGGGCGGAAGCCGGAUGCAGCAACGCCGCGUGCGGGAUGACGGCCUUCGCGUUGUAAACCGCUUUGGCCUGUGACGAAGCGUGAGUGACGGUAAUGGGUAAAGAAGCACCGGCUAACUACGUG